Bactrocera dorsalis (oriental fruit fly) is the source of this 2503-nucleotide RNA transcript. It is a transcript of the gene named protein Red, with no coding region annotated. Lineage: Eukaryota; Metazoa; Arthropoda; Insecta; Diptera; Tephritidae. The record is from RefSeq and is a predicted model, not a curated record. The transcript is spliced from 3 exons.
UCUGCUAUCCCCGAUAUUUUGCAGACAUAACUAAUUACAAAUAUUUACAGUCAAUAUUUUUGGUUCCCUAAAUUACGAUUUUUUUCAUAUACUAUAAGAUAAAUGGCUGAAUCAGUCCGUUUGACAAACGAUGAUUUUCGUAAGCUAUUGGCUACUCCUCGUCAGCCACCACCAGGGAGUACACCUGCAAAUCCUACAACAGCUACAUCUUCGUCUAUAGAAAAGAAAAAGCUUCAAGGUUCAAGUAGUGAACGCAAUGAUUUGCGUAGAAAAAAGAAAAAUUUUUAUGCAGCACUUAAAAAACAAGAAGAUGGAAAGCUGCAACAACUAUCCGAAAAAUAUCGCGAUCGAGCCAGAGAACGCCGUGACGGGGCAAAUCCAGAUUAUCAAAACGUUAGCACGCCUGGUCAUAGUAGCACCAAUGCUUAUCGUGCUGUUGCCCCGGAUUUAAAAUCAGGCAUAGAUGCAGCUGAGCGGCGUCGUCGAAUUAUACAGGAAUCUAAAUUUUUAGGUGGUGAUAUGCGACACACGCAUUUGGUAAAAGGUCUCGAUUAUGCUCUUUUACAAAAAGUCCGUUCUGAAUUACAAACCAAAGAGGUGGAGGAACAAGCAUUGGCAGUUGCAGCAGCUACUGAAAAGUUAGCAGAAACCGCUGCAGCUGAACAGGCUGAAGCUGAAAGCAAAGAUGCUGAUGAUCAUAUGACUAUAAAAAGCGCAAUGGCACGAAAUAUUUUCAAUAUAAUUCAAGCUCGACGCUCUAAAGAAGUGUCUUGUAAUGAAUUGUUUGCUCCAGGUCGCAUGGCCUACGUUAUUGAUUUAGAAGAUGAUUUGGGAGAAACCGAUAUUCCAACGACAUUAAUACGGUCAAAAUUUGAAGUGCCUGUUAAUCGGGAAGAUAUCGCCACGCUUACUACAAAUGAUAUAGUUAUAAAUAAACUUUCACAAAUUCUCUCCUAUUUACGUGCUGGUGGCCGCAAUAAGAAAAACAAGAAGAGAGAUAAAGAUAAACCACUUUUCUAUGAAAAAGAAAUGGAACAAACAUUGAAUAUUACUGGAUUAAGUGAUGGUGGUGGUUUAACUGGUAAAGCUUUAGGUGACAACAUAUACGACGAUAUUGGAGAGUAUCAACCAAACUCCAAGAAAGAAGGUUUAAAAUUAGAUAGCAAUAACCCAAAAGGUGUGGCUGGAUCUUACUUCGCAGACGUAAAAGGAAACGAAGAUUCCGAACCGCUAGUAACUAAUAUACCACCACCGCCAAAGAUUACAAAGGCGAUAGCUUCGCGCUUUGCUAAUGAACCCGAAGGUUAUGCUGAGUGUUAUCCAGGAUUAGAAGAAAUGAAUGAUGCCAUUGAUGAUUCUGAUGAUGAAGUAGACUAUACGAAAAUGGAUUUGGGCAAUAAAAAGGGACCUAUUGGUAGAUGGGAUUUCGAUACACAAGAAGAAUAUUCCGAUUAUAUGAGCACAAAGGAGGCUUUACCAAAAGCUGCAUUUCAAUAUGGUGUCAAAAUGCAAGACGGUAGACGAACUCGAAAAAACAAAACCGAGAAGAGCGAAAAGGCAGAGUUGGAUCGCGAAUGGCAGAAAAUACAGAAUAUUAUACAAAAACGAAAAUUUCCUAAAGGAGGUGCAGAAGAACCCGAUUACAAAGCUGCUAAAUAUUAGUAGGCAAACAUUAAUGCAACAGAUCACAAAAUUAUAUAAAGAGUUAUACAGAAUAGUUUCACAUAUAUAUCCAGUUUCAUUAAUUUAUAAUAUCGACAACAACUUGGGCAUUCCCAACUAUUUGGUAGGUCUUCAUUUACUACUCCUUUAGCGUCUGCUGCAUCUUCGGUGCCGUCUAAUAACGACCUCGCGCAGUCAGAAUGCGCAAUUUCAUAACAGACCGAACACUCCAUUAGCGUCGAAGGUCCCUCGAGUGAAGCCAGUUGCUUAGUUUGCGGGGACACGGGUACUUGGCGCCAGCCGUCCAAAUGACACACGAAGCACUGUGCUGUCACCGGUAACAUGGGCGAGAGACACUGACGCAUCAUACAUGUUUGCUUAGCGCGUCCAGGUCCACCGAAUUUCACCAUAUCCAAACAGAAACUGCAUUCCCCACAGUCGGAACGCUGGCAAGCAGCGCAGACUUUACAGCGCGUUCGCCGUCGACGCGGUUGACCAGUACCGGUGACAUUUGGGGACAACUUUGAAUCGUUCGGCGAGAGACAAGAGUUUUCAGUAGUGUUAACGGCAUUUGUGUUAUGUGUAAGUGGCUGUGCAUGUGAAUUGUUUUGUGUUUGGUUGGAUACAGCAACCGUUGUUCCAGUUGAAAUGGUCGUUGUUGCCGUUGAAGCUGAAUUAUAACUUGAGCAAGAUGCGAUAACACUGACAGUGUUGUUGGCCUGAUGUGCUGCUGCAGCAACAGCAUUUGCGAGGUGCAUCUUCUUCGGAGGGCGAUACUUAAGACUAUCCGUGGGUGAAAUGAAUGUAGCUAGUAUAGAAAUAAAUAUAUUUGCAAGAUUAA